CCCGGCGGCAAUAGCGCGGUGGUCCCACCUGACCCCAUGCCGAACUCAGAAGUGAAACGCCGUAGCGCCGAUGGUAGUGUGGGGUCUCCCCAUGCGAGAGUAGGACACUGCCGGCA
RNAcentral lists this ribosomal RNA (116 nucleotides) under Serratia marcescens. The record is from RNAcentral. Lineage: Bacteria; Pseudomonadati; Pseudomonadota; Gammaproteobacteria; Enterobacterales; Yersiniaceae.